This is a non-coding RNA of Paramuricea clavata, 766 nucleotides long. Lineage: Eukaryota; Metazoa; Cnidaria; Anthozoa; Malacalcyonacea; Plexauridae. The record is from the annotation of a GenBank genome assembly.
UAAAAACAAUCGCUAAUACAUUUAUAUUUGACAUAGUGACUAAGAAUUCCAACUUCGUCAACUACGGUUCGAAAAACAGUAUUAAAGAAAAAACGAGUAUUUUAUAAUUUUCGUUUUCCCGCCGUUCGCAGUCUAAUUCCCAGACCCUGCGAUCCUCGGGAAGGAACGUGAGGCUCUGGGAUAAUCCGUUGCCGAAAGCCAGGAAUCCUGGCUAAGAUUGAACUGCGGAUUCCAUUUCAACGGCCAUAUAGAUUUCUCCUUGAAACGGAUUAUUCCAGAGCCUCACGUUCCUUCCCGAGGAUUGCAGGCUUGUGGAAUUAGAUUGCGCCGUUCGAAGCGAAGUGGCGAACCGCGUAAGCCCGGGGAAAGGGUACUAACUCCGAUGGGAUAUUUACGUACAUCCGGAAUCCCAGAUAAUGUGAUCAAUCAUAGCAGAGUUUAUAACUAACUUUUACUAAUAGAUGGCAGACUAUUUUUUGAAAAGUUGCUUAUUUCAGUAUUUAUUCAAAAAGAAGCCAAAAAGAGCCAAAAAAUAGAAAGAAGCCAAACGAAAUUUUUAGUAGCCAAACGAAGUCAAAAAAAGCCAAAAUCGAGAAAUUUGGCUCUUUUAACGCCAAACUGGCAACCCUGGCUAAAUUUUCUUCUUUCGCCCUUUCCGUGAGCCUCUACGCGCCCACUUCUGGCCGCGCGCCCGCUCUUAAAAAGCGACUGGGGACGAGUCUAGUGAAGGGACUUCAGACUUCAAACUUCAAACAUUGGUUCCGAG